UCCUACGGGGGGCAGCAGUGAGGAAUAUUGGUCAAUGGGCGCGAGCCUGAACCAGCCAAGUAGCGUGAAGGAUGACUGCCCUACGGGUUGUCAACUUCUUUUAUAAAGGAAUGAAGUGAGGCACGUGUGCCUUUUUGUAUGUACUCUAUGAAUAAGGAUCGGCUAACUCCGUGCCAGCAGCCGCGGUAAUACAGAGGAUCCGAGCGUUAUCCGGAUUUAUUGGGUUUAAAGGGAGCGUAGAUGGGUUGUUAAGUCAGUUGUGAAAGUUUGCGGCUCAACCGUAAAAUUGCGAUUGAUACUGGCAG
This 305-nucleotide ribosomal RNA is filed under the name uncultured bacterium. Its description in RNAcentral is "bacterial SSU rRNA". It matches the Rfam family "Bacterial small subunit ribosomal RNA", at positions 337 to 639 of the family's 1533-position model. The record is from RNAcentral.